UCUAGCUACCAGCAGCAGUGUAGGUCUGUCCACAACUGUUGCCUUUAUUCAAGGGACUAUCUAGCUACCAGCAGCAGUGUAGGUCUGUCCACAACUGUUGCCUAUAUUCACGGGACUAUCUAGCUACCAGCAGCAGUGUAGGUCUGUCAACAACUGUUGACUAUAUUCACGGGACUAUCUAGCUACCAGCAGCAGUGUAGGUCUGUCCACAACUGUUGCCUAUAUUCACGGGACUAUCUAGCUACCAGCAGCAGUGUAGUUCUGUCCACAACUGUUGCCUUUAUUCACGGGACUAUCUAGCUACCAGCAGCAGUGUAGGUCUGUCCACAACUGUUGCCUUUAUUCAUGGGACUAUCUAGCUACCAGCAGCAGUGUAGGUCUGUCCACAACUGUUGCCUAUAUUCAUGGGACUAUCUAGCUACCAGCAGCAGUGUAGUUCUGUCCACAACUGUUGCCUUUAUUCACGGGACUAUCUAGCUACCAG
Molecule: long non-coding RNA, 484 nt
Organism: Haliotis rubra (blacklip abalone)
Lineage: Eukaryota; Metazoa; Mollusca; Gastropoda; Lepetellida; Haliotidae
Exons: 3
Source: RefSeq, a predicted model, not a curated record